GGGAUAGCUCAGUCGGUAGAGCAUGAGACUCUUGAUCUUAGGAUCAUGGGUUUGAGCCCCAUGUUGGGCCA
Podarcis lilfordi (Lilford's wall lizard) is the source of this 71-nucleotide non-coding RNA. Lineage: Eukaryota; Metazoa; Chordata; Lepidosauria; Squamata; Lacertidae. The record is from the annotation of a GenBank genome assembly.